Molecule: ribosomal RNA, 253 nt
Filed under: uncultured bacterium
Lineage: Bacteria
Description: partial 16S ribosomal RNA
Rfam family: Bacterial small subunit ribosomal RNA
Source: RNAcentral
UACAGAGACUGCGAGCGUUAUUCGGAUUCACUGGGCGUAAAGGGUGCGCAGGUGGCCAAGUGUGUUAGGCGUGAAAGCCCGGGGCUUAACCCCGGAAUUGCACCUAAAACUACCUGGCUAGAGCAUUGGAGAGGGGAGCAGAAUUCAUGGUGUAGCAGUGAAAUGCGUAGAUAUCAUGAGGAAUACCAGAGGCGAAGGCGGCUCCCUGGACAAUUGCUGACACUCAGGCACGAAAGCGUGGGGAGCAAAAGGG